RNAcentral lists this long non-coding RNA (1158 nucleotides) under Panicum hallii. Its description in RNAcentral is "long non-coding RNA (PHAL_LNC000626)". Lineage: Eukaryota; Viridiplantae; Streptophyta; Magnoliopsida; Poales; Poaceae. The record is from RNAcentral.
CUAUAUAUCUGUUUCCACCAUUUUAUUGUACUUUGCUGUGUUCUUUGUUUUACCAACUACUGGUGGUGUGUCUGCAGUGUACUGACUUCAGGGAGUGAGAUAAUUCAGAAAUUGGUGAAACAGUUGGCAACUACUUCAUUGGAGAGAGACCACAGUAAGGCCUUUCUUUUUCGUCUUUGUUUGCACAUCAUCUUCCUGUAUAGAAACAGAUUUGAUUUCAUGUGUUUUUAUCAUUAUACUCAGUAUAUUUAAAUUCUGUUGCGUCUCAGGUUCUUCUUAAACUGGGAAGGAAGGCGUUAGGAAAUUUUCAGUGAUGAUAUUGUGCCACCACACAGCAUUAAGGUAUGUACUGGAUUAAGUGUAUUGUACUAUUGUGUGCUCAAUGGUCACAAGAAAAUGUUAGCUCUGUAAAUUUGAAACUAGCUUGCGUGUUUGGUAAUCAUUAUUUAAUUAGUAAUAUCCAUGUGUUUCUGUUGGUACUUUAUUGCAUGUAACUUGACAAACAUGCAUGUCUGUAUCAUAUAUUAUUUAAUGCACAAAUUUUCUGCCAGUUAGCCAUUGGUGAUGUGAGCUAAUUUUCUGAAAUCAGUAUAAUGGCCGCUUCUGUAAUAUCAUUGUUCAUUGGUAGCGCUGCUUGUGUUAGGUAUUCGGCAAUAUUUGUUCUAGGUAAUCCCCUUGUCUAUCUAUUAAACUAAACUUGUUCAAUUUUUGGGUCUGUCUGUAGAAAUGUUCUGUACUGAAGGACAAUCACACGGCACGAGUCUGAACCAAGCAGUACCAAAAUCGUAGUCUCAAGAAUCAUCCAACAUCUGCCUUCACUCACAAUACCUCAGUAUUGCAUUCUGCGAUGUUUUGUUUCGCAGAGAUGAUUUUGAUGCCAAACUUGCUGCUACAUGGAAUUGUUUCUCAGCGGACCGAAAGGUGACCUGGUGGCAUGUUCUGGCCAGGCAUUUGGGAGUAGGAUCUUUAGUUACAGGCUUACAGCAUAUUGUUCUAGAUGUGAUGCUAUCUGGUCAAUGAUGUGUGGGCUCAUGCACCAGUGACCCAAAGUUAGGUCUCGUUUGGAUCAUCUAGAACUAAACUUUAGAACUAAACUUUAGUCCGACUAAAUAUUUGGUGACUAAGCUUUAGGUGGAACACAUAAAAAUAUAGAAAUGU